GACGAACGCUGGCGGCGUGCCUAAUACAUGCAAGUUGAGCGCUGAAGGUUGGUACUUGUACCAACUGGAUGAGCAGCGAACGGGUGAGUAACGCGUGGGGAAUCUGCCUUUGAGCGGGGGACAACAUUUGGAAACGAAUGCUAAUACCGCAUAAAAACUUUAAACACAAGUUUUAAGUUUGAAAGAUGCAAUUGCAUCACUCAAAGAUGAUCCCGCGUUGUAUUAGCUAGUUGGUGAGGUAAAGGCUCACCAAGGCGAUGAUACAUAGCCGACCUGAGAGGGUGAUCGGCCACAUUGGGACUGCGACACGGCCCAAACGCCUACGGGAGGCAGCAGUAGGGAAUCUUCGGCAAUGGACGAAAGUCUGACCGAGCAACGCCGCGUGAGUGAAGAAGGUUUUCGGAUCGUAAAACUCUGUUGGUAGAGAAGAACGUUGGUGAGAGUGGAAAGCUCAUCAAGUGACGGUAACUACCCAGAAAGGGACGGCUAACUACGUG
RNAcentral lists this ribosomal RNA (497 nucleotides) under uncultured bacterium. RNAcentral's name for it is "partial 16S ribosomal RNA". It matches the Rfam family "Bacterial small subunit ribosomal RNA", at positions 28 to 507 of the family's 1533-position model. The record is from RNAcentral.